This 3472-nucleotide long non-coding RNA is filed under the name Amborella trichopoda. RNAcentral describes it as "long non-coding RNA (ATRI_LNC002201)". The record is from RNAcentral. Lineage: Eukaryota; Viridiplantae; Streptophyta; Magnoliopsida; Amborellales; Amborellaceae.
UCAAUUUCAAAACAAAAGAGAGAGAGACAACCCUUCAGCUUGAUAUGCCCCCCAUUUCUUCUUGUCAUCUUCAACCUUGAGCUAUAGGCAUGUGAUCUUUCAGUGUGUGGUCUUCCAUUGAUUAAGGUCAAAUCGAUGGUGCUAUAUUAUCAACUUAUUUGUUUGCUCUUGUUAAAUUUCUAUUUCCUCAUCAUUUGGAACAUCUUAGCUUGCUGUAAUUUCUGAUUUACAAUAUCUUCUUGCCUCUUUGAUCCUUCUUUUAGUUGAUCAUUAAAAGCUUCAAGUUCAUAGUGUGAUCUACACCUUAAGCAUAUGUUGUGUGGUAUGAGUUAUUAUCAAUCUAGACCUCAUCUUGCCCAUUUCUUUUGAUCCGAAUUUUCUCUUACUUCCAUUGAGAUUAAACUUAUGAUAAGAGAAUAAUUUCAUGUUAUUUGAGUAAUAGAAAUGGGUUUGUGACCCCUUUUUGCAUAAAAGAAAAGUUCGGGUAGUCCCGUUGGACUACAUUGUGUAGUACUCUCAUAUCUUGCUAGUUUUGAGUUGUCAAUCACCCAUACAUUGAAAAACUGAUGUCAUGAUAAUCUCUCUUAUAAAUUGUACCUUAUUUAGUGAUUUUAAAGUGAAUAUAUGCUUCUCAUGUGAAGUGAUCUCCUUGAGUUAUAAAAUCGCCUGUGCUCUAGACUAUGGGAUAACAUUAAGUCCCUAAAAGGUCCGAAUUAUGACCCGAGCGUAAAGGGUUCGACCUACAUAUUCCCAAAUGUUUGUUGCAUGAUUAUUUUUCAUAAUCUGCUUAUAUUUAAUUUUUUGUGCUAUGGAGUAAUUGAGCAUACCAUAGAUGUAAGUUACUUGUUCUUAUGUUCACAUAGUCCAUGCUUUAAUGGCAUAAUGAAUUAUUGGCUAUAUAUCAUGCAUGAUGUAUUUAAGUUUGGCUCAUCAUGAUCACUUUUGUUUUAUAUGUGAAUCUUGUAUUUAUGGUGAGGAUGAAGGUUAGAAAGAAGUGGUAAUUUUAUUCCCAUUCGAUGAGGAAUUUUGAGUGUACAUCUUAUAUUGUGUUGUAAAUGGGAGUAUUUGUGCAUUUGAGAAUUGUGUUGUAUUUUGUAUUUUGAUUUUGGGAAUUGUAGAGGGACCAUAUGGAGUUGUAAUUUUAAUUUCAAAGUAUUGUAUAAGUCAAGUUUAGCAAAUGUGUUUUGAACAUUAAUGUUGAAAUUCGUAAAGGAUUUGUUCAAUUUGAAAAGCUCAUGUUUCAAAAUAAGGAAAUUUUAAAUUGGAUUCCUAAUACUUGGUCUUAUACCACCAACACUAACCACAUAAAACAUUGCAACAUUGAAGGCUCCGACAAAAUCUAUAAACUUCUCGAGGUACCCUUAACAUCUAUACCCACAUAACAAACUGACAAAUUAUCCCAAAUUUCCCUAAAUACAGAUACAUUAGGAAUUGGUAACAUGGUUUCUUAUAAAAUAAAAAACAAUAGGUCUGAUCUUUUUAACGAGUAAGAAAGCAUCCCUUUUAUGACUCACAUCAUCCAGACCCCUAAUAUUCCAAAUAAUAAUAUUCAUAUGGAAAACGAAGAAGAACCUGGAUCGAUCGCACUUGGCCCAUCAGCGCCAUGUUACCCUAUAAAUAGCAAAGUCAAUGAAGAACUGGAGGAACUACUAUAUUCUACAUUGAUGGUAAUCAUUUAUCAUUUGCAAAUGACCACUCCACCCCCAAUCAUUCUUCUCUCUGCAAUUCUUGUUGAUAACCUCGACAGAGCCUUAGAGACCUCAGCCUUGCAUUUUCCUUUCAUUUCACAAAAUUGAUUUCAUAAAUGUUAUUUCCACUUAGGAUUCAUUCACAUGUUUGAAGAAACCAUGCGGUGUGGUCCCAUUGGUACUAGUAUGUGAAGAGCAUAAGAUGUUUAAAUUUGAUUGGCGUGUUGUCAUAAGAUCUUUUCCCACAUAUGUGGUUGUUCCUUUUUACCAAACUGACAUUGCCCUUGUCCUUAAAGUGAGCUAAUGAUUUUAUUUAAAACCAUGGGCGAAGGACAACUAUGGACCCAAUUGGAUUUAAUCCAUGGGACGUAGACUAAAGUGUAAAAUGAACCUAAGGAUUUAGGGAGUGAUAUUGGUGUUAAGUAUCAUCUUUACAUCUUGAUAAUUAGAUGGGGAUGAGUGGCUAGUAUUAGAGUCUCUCAUGUACCAUAGAUCUAAGGGCAUCAAGGGUUAAGAUCACUUCUCCCACUAUGAUCGAAUAUGAAUAUCACUGGACGUUCAUUUAAGCCCUAAUUCUAUCACUUCAAUUUCAAAGCAAAAGAGAGAGAGACAACCAUUGAGCUUGAUAUGCCCCCCAUUUCUUCUUGUCAUCUUCAACCUUGAGCUAUAGGCUUGUGAUCUUUCAGGGUGUGGUCUUCCAUUGAUUAAGGUCAAAUCGAUGGUGCUAUAUUAUCAACUUAUUUGUUUGCUCUUGUUAUUUGUUUGCUCAUGUUAAAUUUCCUCAUCAUUUGGAACAUCUUAGCUUGCUGUAAUUUCUGAUGUACAAUAUCUUCUUGCCUCUUUGAUCCUUCUUUUAGUUGAUCAUUAAAAGCUUCAAGUUAAUAGUGUGGUCUACACCUUAAGCAUAUGUUGUGUGGUAUGAGUUAUUAUCAAUUUAGACCUCAUCUUGGCCAUUUCUUUUGAUCCGAAUUUUCUCUUACUUCCAUUGAGAUUAAACUUAUGAUAAGACAAUAAUUUCAUGUUAUUUGAGUAAUAGAAAUGGGUUUGUGACCCCUUUUUGCAUAAGAGAAAAGGUCGGGUAGUCCCGUUGGACUACAUUGUGUAGUACUCUCAUAUCUUGCUAGUUUUGAGUUGUCAAUCACCCAUACAUUGAAAAACUGAUGUCAUGAUAAUUUCUCUUAUAAAUUGUACCUUAUUUAGUGAUUUUAAAGUGAAUAUAUGCUUCUCAUGUGAAGUGAUCUCCUUGAGUUAUAAAAUCGACUGUGCUCUAGACUAUGGGAUAACAUUAAGUCCCUAAAAGGUCCGAAUUAUGACCAGGGCGUAAAGGGUUCGACCUACAUAUUCCCAAAUGUUUGUUGCAUGACUAUUUGUCAUAAUCUGCUUAUAUUUAAUGUUUUGUGCUAUGGAGUAAUUGAGCAUACCAUAGAUGUAAGUUACUUGUUCUUAUGUUCACAUAGUCCAUGCUUUAAUGGCAUAAUGAAUUAUUGGCUAUAUAUCAUGCCUGUUGUAUUUACGUUUGGCUCAUCAUGAUCAAUUUUGUUUUAUAUGAAAUCUUGUAUUUAUGGUGAGGAUGAAGGUUAGAAAGAAGUGGUAAUUUUAUUCCCAUUCGAUGAGGAAUUUUGAGUGUCCACCUUAUAUUUUGUUUUAAAUGGGAGUAUUCGUGCAUUUGAGAAUUGUGUUGUAUUUUGUAUUUUGAUUUUGGGACUUGUAAAGGGACCAUAUGGAGUUGUAAUUUUAAUUUCAAAGUAUUGUGUAAGUCAAGUUUAUUGAAUGUGUUUUGAACA